Long non-coding RNA from Salvelinus fontinalis (brook trout), 2440 nucleotides. RefSeq lists it as uncharacterized. The transcript is spliced from 3 exons. NCBI's taxonomy places the organism in Eukaryota, Metazoa, Chordata, Actinopteri, Salmoniformes, Salmonidae. The record is from RefSeq and is a predicted model, not a curated record.
UGCUCGCUACAGCAGCUUCAUUCACUCUUCUUCUUCUACUGACUACUUGCUCGCGAUAGUUUUAGAGAAAACUGCUCUGUGGAAAACUCGGCCAGAAGCUAGCAAGUAUCAAGUGAAUCCACAACAUCACCACAAACGUCUUUUCAAGCCAGAAAUGUUCAUGGAUAACAUUAGCAGUGGAGAGAAAGGAGAGGAGGAAGACUGGAUCGGAAGAAGAGUGAAGGAGACAGAGGAGGAAAGAUUGGAGAGGAAGGAGAAGGAAAAAUGAAGGGAGUAAAAAGAGUGAAGCGAGGAGAGUGUAGAAGAGUGAGGUGGAAAGGUGAAGAGAAGGAAAGGAAGACGAGUGAAGAAAAGAGGAGAAAGAUUGGAGGAGAAGAAAAAGUUAAGAGAGUAAGAAGAGUGACACAAGGAGAGUGAAGAAGAACAGACAAAGGAGAGGAGAAGCUGGCCAAAGACAGAGCAAUCCUGAAGAAUAUACAUUCUUCUGAGAAAUAUACAGAUUAGGUUGGUAUAUGUAUAUUAUGUAGUUACCAAUCUCAUCCGCAUCUUAUUUAUUUAUUAUGUUAAGUAAUUCACAUAUGCUAUUGUCUGUUUUUUACAUUUUGCUGAUGUUCUCUUCUGAUCUUAUUGUACCAGGACCACUGAAUGGCUGUUCAGAUCAGAUAGUUCAGUCUUGUCUGUAGUGUUUCUGUAAUAUAGUUGUUUUCUCUAUCACAGAGUGCCUGUUAGACUAAAUACAUGAAGCCGGAAUUGUCCCCUUUUUUUAUUUCAUAGAUAAUAACAUUGGAUAUGUUAAUUAUUUAUUGACCGCCGAACUGGAAAUGUCCCCGGUUUUCAUUUCAGAAAUCUGGUCACCUUAGCUUAGACCUACAGGGUUAAUUUGACCUAUUUUGUUGCAGGAGGAAAAUCAUCCUGCAACAGGACGAUUUAAAUUAAUAUUGAAUAUAUAGAAUCUCGUAGGCUAUACAAUGCAGUACAAUACCUAGGGCUAUGGUUUGGGGAAAGCUCUGCAAACCAACUGACUUUAUUCCAUCAAGUAUCAUCAAGUAUUCUCACAGCUUGCUAGAGCAUUGUGAACUGCUGUAGUGCAGUGGUCUGAGCAGCAUGCUUCGGCUCCGAGCGCCACAAUCAUUUUCACACUUUGCAUGAAUGGAAACUAAUGUUGGUGUAGCCUACUGUUGUUAUUUUAUUUGUUUCCUAUUUAUGUUAUCCAUUAAAUACAACUGUCUUUGAAAUAAACGGAGAGGCUGCGGAUCCAAAUCUUUAGUUCGCUGGAUCUUAAGUCUGCACAUGUAGGGGUCAUGUUCUGCGCAUUUGUAUACAGAGAACAGGCUACUCAGGUGAAUGGUGCUUGUUUAAUACAGUUAGAUCAAAGCUGAAUCCAUGUCUGCGAGAUCACAUAAUGAUCACAGUAUUCUACGUAACCAAAUAUGUUACUAACAAACUUGUAUUCGAUCCAUAAAUAUGAAUAAAAUGGUUAAGUUACGAGCCUAGUUGGUUUAGAUAUGGAAAAAGUCAGGAACCUUCCCACUAGCCAUGAUUGCCUGAGAUAAAGUAUGAGCUGGACAUUCCGGGAGAUGAGUUUGGAUUGGUCUGCCAUGGAGCAGGCUUCGGUCUAUAACGUGGGCUGUUCAGUAUGUGUUGACAGUCCUUUCUACCGCGCCAUUUUUGAAAGAUAUAACGUUAGCCAUUGAGAACUACAAAAGUUUUGCUACUUUUCUCAACAACAUUGAUGCCCUGAAUAUAGCAGGCACUAUUGACAGAUCAGUAGGAAAAAGUGAUGGGCUACUUUCUGUACAAGCCAAGGUCAGGGUGAACCGGAGUAACUUGACACAAAGCUGGCCAAACAAGACGUAGCUCCAAACAAAAUGGAGUUAAAUGGUUCCAGUUUGCCAUGAAGCUUUCAUCCAUGUAUACGGAUAAGAGUCUAGCUACAUUUUCAAGAUACAAUAUACGUUUCUAAUUUUAUCGCAAAUACGAUUUUAUUGCAAGUUAAACAUACUGUUAGCAAGCAAACAUUAGCUUGCUGGCUCGAUAGCUAACAUUGAGUGCAUGAUCUGUGUAGUAAUAUUAUUAGAAUCAGAAAUCUAUUUGCAUUGCUAAUUUUAGCCAAAUGUUAGCUAGUUAACAUUUAACCUAGUUUGUUAGCUUUAGCUAACUGCAGAUUCACACUACAGCUAUGACUAUGUUUGUAAUGGUAGUAGUAGGAUUUGGGGUUACGCCGGUUAAUUGUUUAGCUAGCUACCGACAGUUGAAGUCGGAAGUUUACAUACACUUAGGUUGGAGUCAUUAAAACUUGUUUUUCAACCACUCCACAAAUUUCUUACAAACAAACUAUAGUUUUACUUGUGUGAAACUCAAAUUACUUGUGUCAUGCACAAAGUAGAUGUCCAAACCGACUUGCCAAAACUAAAGUUUGUUAACAAGAAAUUUGUGGACU